Solanum tuberosum (potato) is the source of this 3366-nucleotide long non-coding RNA. RefSeq lists it as uncharacterized. The record is from RefSeq and is a predicted model, not a curated record. NCBI's taxonomy places the organism in Eukaryota, Viridiplantae, Streptophyta, Magnoliopsida, Solanales, Solanaceae. The transcript is spliced from 5 exons.
AUCCUUUUUGAAAUUCACAUUUUGAAUUGUUUUUUUAUUGGGAAGAUCCAACCAUGGAUUCCAUGAAGGACUUCCAUCUAAGCUCGAUGUUCCCUGUAACUCAUCUUUUUAAUUUCUUCCUUUCCUUUCUUCUCCAAGUACAUGCAACGACCUAUGGUAAAAAAUUAACAAAUUUAAAAAAUGCCCACAUCAAGAACAAAGCGGUUGAAACACAACAUUUCAAUUAUUUUUUGGAUUCUUAUGUGUGCGUAUCAUCAAUUUUAUCUAUUUUGCUUAUGCAUGAUUCAAAAUAUAAAUAGAUACGUAUAUAACUCUGGAUCUUUUCUUUAAUGCACACACUGCAUCUAAGGUGCUUUCUGUGCUGAUAGUUUAGUUCACUUUAAUUUAAUUUUCCCGAUAAUCUUACUUCUGUUACAUCUACCUGCUCUGGGGUUGAAACGCGAAGAAGUGGAAGGAGUUGCUAUUUAUGUUUUUUGAGUGUGGGGUGAUUAUUAUCAGAAAGAACAAGCAAAUUUGAAGGGAUGUGUAGUGAUGGAUCAUUGUAAAAUGGAGCAAAACAGGGCAAUGUGAGACUCAGAGCCUGUCUCUUCUUCUUUAUGUGGGAUAUGGUAUGUUUAAAAUCCUUCGGACAUCAAUCACUACAACUUUAGAAAAAGAGAAACGUUGUAUUUUUCAUAUAUUUUUAAAAAAACAUAGACAGGGAGAGCGAGAGAAAGAGGUAUGAGCAAGGUACAGUGAAAUUACUUCAUUCCCAGUGUUCCAGAAUGAUAUGCGCUCGAGGAUCACGCCUCUGUGAGCUUCUCUUUUCUAUAUUUAUUCAUAUUUACUCUAGACUGUACAUCACUUCAUGUACUUAAAUAAUGAUUGCAUUGGUAUUAAUCUACAAGGUGUGGUCAUCUAGAAAGUGAGUACUAAAUACCUAUGGAAAAUAAAAUACUCAUUCGCUUUUUCGUUACAUGGUUACAGAUGGGAAAAUCAAGAGUAGGGAUUAAGAUCUAGAGGGUUGUUGUGAUUAAUUAUAUUUACUAAGAGCCACAAAAUCAGUAUCUUUUUAUGUUCAUUAUGGUUGUGUUGACACAUUAUUGGACUUAGUCCAGAGAGCUAAUGUAUCUCUCAAGAAAAGAUUGGAAACUACAUAUAAGAUGUAGAUUCUCUUAAUGGUGUGAGGUCUUUCGAGAAAAACCUUACAAUCAUGGCAGUCACAAUCAUUUACAAGCUUUAUGCCAAUUUGAACUUUAUUACAGUGGACUUUUGUGUUUGGAGUUCAUAGUUGCUCAUGUGAAGAUGAAACAUCUUCUUUCCCUCGUAGGCUUCUUUUCACUUUAAAUUAAAAUUCAUUCACUGACUUUUAAAUUCUUGGAAAGUAUUGUUUCAAUAUGUUGAUAAAGUUCUUCAAUCAUAACCAAGCUUGGGCUUGACUUUUUGGGCUGACACAUUAAGGUUAUUUGCGUCAGUCGCAUAAUCCUCAGGGGUAUUGGGAAGAACUCAAUAAAAAUAUAGACAUGCUAUGUGACUAAAAUUCCCAAAGGUUAGUAAUGCAUUCACGUUCUGUCAAUUAUUUGAUUGCCUUUCAACUUACUUACGAUCUAUAUUGGAUUGGAGUUGGUUAAUGAGUCUUACCCUUUUUCUUUUUGGUAAGGCAAUUCGUUCUAAUUUCAAAAGUUGAACUUAACAGAAAACAGUAUUGGGCUUGUAGUAGGGACAACAAGGCGGAUGGAACUCGAGAUGAGCAAGAUGAGAAGUACAUCACUCGAUACCAUUAAGAGAGAGAGAGAGAGUUGAAUUUGAGAGUAUAGAAGGUCCCUGAGAUCGAGCAGUAGGUAAUCUAACGUCGUUUUGCUCGAUUAUUGCCAUUUUUCGAUUAGAUUAUUGUUGUUAUUUAACGGAAAUCAGUUCAUGCAUAUGAAUAAUAUUGGGUGCUUCAAAAUGGUGAUGAGUAUGCAUAGAAUAUUUCAGAUUUGUUUCUUGUAUGGUGUCUCGAGUCUGUUUUUAAUGCUAAUAAUGAUUGAUGGUGGGAAAAUUCUGCACAUAAUUUCAGAGUACACAAACUCUUGUUGUUUCUUCUGAUUGGGAAAGAAUAGGGGUUUGGGAAUUUUUAGGAAAGAUUUAUUUUAUUUCUAUUCAAGUACAAGUAGACUUCAACUGAGCUCAGAAAGUAUAAAAUAUCAACUCUUAUAUAAAGAGUGUUCAUCCAUGUAUAUACUCAAAAGACAAGAAUAUGUAUGCCAUCAACUUAGUGGACCAGAUGAUAAAUCAUAAGACUUAUUAUUUCAGAACUUUCAAGACAUUAUGAUAGAAGGAAAAGUGUUGAUAAAAUUGAAUGUCAAAUGGUUUCUUUCUCGUGAUAAUUGAUAUCAAUUGGUGGAGAAAAAACAAGCCUAACCUAUAAGUGCAACUUUUGUUGGAUGAUAAGGAUUACUAUUUUGGAAGUCUAUUACUAACAAAUAGAAAGAAUGUACUUCGUACACAACUUCCAGAUUGACAAUAGUUAACAAGUAAAGAUUGUGCUAUUGCAAUAGUAGCAUUUAUCAAAGGGUACUAUUUGAUUCUUUAACUCUCAUUAUUUGGAUGUUUUUAUUAUUGUUACUUGAAUUUAGUGUUCAAAUUCUAUUAUCGAUCUUCAUAUUUUGUGAUGUAUGAACUCAUGUUCAUUUUGUAUUAUCAUGUCAACUGCUUCUCCUAGCAUAUGAUAAACGAAGAAGAUAUUCACAAACCCAAAUGAUACUACUUUAAUUUGGUUGUUUUUUCUAUUUAUUGCUUGUGACUCAUAUAUUAUGAGAUAUGGUUGUAAUGUGUCUAAAGCUUGAGAUUCUGAAAGUUACUAGCAAUGAAAAAAGUUUAUGAAAAGCUUUUGAAGUACCCUAACCACAAACAUUUUGUUUGACACGACAUCUACGAAUAUGCUUACCAUGACCCUUGGACAAGUGAUUUGCAGCGUCUUUGGACCAUGGUACUUUGUAUAACCAAGAGUAAAUAAGAGAGAGAGAGAUGAUUAUGAGACACCGAAGAGAUUAGCACAGAAUGUAAUAGAGGCUGACCAUUAAUCACAUUGAAUUGACAUUUGGGGAUAACAGAGGGACAAACUUUGAUCCUAACUUCUAAGUGGCUCAGCAGAGGAAACAAAAAGGAGAAUGGAGGAGAAAUCAGAGCUGAAGAUUCCUGUAAUUCCAUGGCGACUCUGGAUUAACUUUAAGACCGUAUUCGUCUCUUUCUAGAUGUAUGGAAAAAAAGGUGACUCAAUUAAUCAUAUUUUCCCAAAGCAGACUUGUAAACAUUGAUAAUAAGAAAUGCCUCUUUCUGUUUUCUCCGUAGACUAAUGUUGUACUGUUAUUAUACGAGAAAAUCAAUAAUACAGUUAAGUAUUGA